AUUGAACGCUGGCGGCAUGCUUUACACAUGCAAGUCGAACGGCAGCGCGGGCUUCGGCCUGGCGGCGAGUGGCGAACGGGUGAGUAAUACAUCGGAACGUGCCCAGUAGUGGGGGAUAGCUCGGCGAAAGCCGGAUUAAUACCGCAUACGACCUGAGGGUGAAAGCGGGGGAUCUUCGGACCUCGCGCUAUUGGAGCGGCCGAUGGCAGAUUAGCUAGUUGGUGGGGUAAGGGCCUACCAAGGCGACGAUCUGUAGCUGGUCUGAGAGGACGACCAGCCACACUGGGACUGAGACACGGCCCAGACUCCUACGGGAGGCAGCAGUGGGGAAUUUUGGACAAUGGGCGAAAGCCUGAUCCAGCAAUGCCGCGUGUGUGAUGAAGGCCUUCGGGUUGUAAAGCACUUUUGGCGGGAACGAAAGGGACUGUGCCAAUACCACGGUUCGAUGACGGUACCCGCAGAAUAAGCACCGGCUAACUACGUG
RNAcentral lists this ribosomal RNA (484 nucleotides) under uncultured bacterium. Its description in RNAcentral is "partial 16S ribosomal RNA". It matches the Rfam family "Bacterial small subunit ribosomal RNA", at positions 29 to 507 of the family's 1533-position model. The record is from RNAcentral.